This 509-nucleotide ribosomal RNA is filed under the name uncultured bacterium. RNAcentral's name for it is "bacterial SSU rRNA". It matches the Rfam family "Bacterial small subunit ribosomal RNA", at positions 30 to 526 of the family's 1533-position model. The record is from RNAcentral.
AUUGAACGCUAGCGGGAUGCUUUACACAUGCAAGUCGAACGGCAGCGCGAGAGAGCUUGCUCUCUUGGCGGCGAGUGGCGGACGGGUGAGUAAUAUAUCGGAACGUGCCCAGUAGCGGGGGAUAACUACUCGAAAGAGUGGCUAAUACCGCAUACGCCCUACGGGGGAAAGGGGGGGAUCGCAAGACCUCUCACUAUUGGAGCGGCCGAUAUCGGAUUAGCUAGUUGGUGGGGUAAAGGCUCACCAAGGCAACGAUCCGUAGCUGGUUUGAGAGGACGACCAGCCACACUGGGACUGAGACACGGCCCAGACUCCUACGGGAGGCAGCAGUGGGGAAUUUUGGACAAUGGGGGAAACCCUGAUCCAGCCAUCCCGCGUGUAUGAUGAAGGCCUUCGGGUUGUAAAGUACUUUUGGCAGAGAAGAAAAGGUAUCUCCUAAUACGAGAUACUGCUGACGGUAUCUGCAGAAUAAGCACCGGCUAACUACGUGCCAGCCGCCGCCGUAACAC